GAAGCUUUCUCAAGUCACUUUCCCAUGGAAUUUCGAGUCAUAAGCUUACAUGGACAUGUCUAGGGGAAAUAAAAAAAUAAAAAAAUUUAUGCUACGUGGUAUUUUAAUAAUAAAAAAAUCUCCUCUGUUCUUUUAUUCUCUCUAUUUAGUUAGAAGCCAAUGUCUCUCUUACUUUCUCCCAUGCUUCUCUCCCUCUUUCAGUUUCUAUACAUUAAACCUUUCACAAGUAGAUUCACUCUAAUCCUCCAUUCAUCAUCAAACUCUAAAAUAAUAAAAACUAUAAAAUUGCACGCAUACGUUAUAUUUAAAUUUAUAUCACCAAUUGCUCCACUACUGUCAAUGAAAACAGUGUUGUCGUCAUCGCCUUAAGCUGGGAUGUUCAAAACCUUCAACAAUUGAAGAGAAAUUGCCAGCAAUUCCUCAUGGCAUUCCUUACCAACAAGUUGUUUCAUUCAUGUACAAAAAUAACAAUCUCCCUUCCUUCGGCCAUACCAUCUCACAUCUCUCUCCUUAGUGUUAAGGCGGCUCAACGUCUCCAUUUCCCUUAGGUCACCGCGAUGCCAUAUCGACGAGAGUCCUUACUGACUGCAUAUAACUUGACCCAGUGCCUUUUUUCCACCAGCGACAACCCACUAAUCCAGCUGAAUAGCGCCAUCAAAGCUCAAGCUCCCCUUGCUUGUGUCAUAGCCAUAGACCCACUUUGCCUCUUUCCCUUCCUUUCCAA
Molecule: unclassified non-coding RNA, 724 nt
Filed under: Hevea brasiliensis (rubber tree)
Lineage: Eukaryota; Viridiplantae; Streptophyta; Magnoliopsida; Malpighiales; Euphorbiaceae
Source: RNAcentral